RNAcentral lists this ribosomal RNA (253 nucleotides) under uncultured bacterium. Its description in RNAcentral is "partial 16S ribosomal RNA". It matches the Rfam family "Bacterial small subunit ribosomal RNA", at positions 524 to 776 of the family's 1533-position model. The record is from RNAcentral.
UACGGAGGAUGCAAGCGUUAUCUGGAAUGAUUGGGCGUAAAGCGUCCGCAGGUGGCUGUGUAAGUCUGCUGUUAAAGAGUGAGGCUCAACCUCAUAAAGGCAGUGGAAACUACAUGGCUAGAGUGCGUUCGGGGCAGAGGGAAUUCCUGGUGUAGCGGUGAAAUGCGUAGAGAUCAGGAAGAACACCGGUGGCGAAAGCGCUCUGCUAGGCCGCAACUGACACUGAGGGACGAAAGCUAGGGGAGCGAAUGGG